RNAcentral lists this ribosomal RNA (468 nucleotides) under uncultured bacterium. Its description in RNAcentral is "partial 16S ribosomal RNA". It matches the Rfam family "Bacterial small subunit ribosomal RNA", at positions 28 to 507 of the family's 1533-position model. The record is from RNAcentral.
GACGAACGCUGGCGGCGUGCUUAGCACAUGCAAGUCGAACGGAAAGGCCCUGCUUUUGUGGGGUGCUCGAGUGGCGAACGGGUGAGUAACACGUGAGUAACCUGCCCUUGACUUUGGGAUAACUUCAGGAAACUGGGGCUAAUACCGGAUAGGAGCUCCUGCUGCAUGGUGGGGGUUGGAAAGUUUCGGCGGUUGGGGAUGGACUCGCGGCUUAUCAGCUUGUUGGUGGGGUAGUGGCUUACCAAGGCUUUGACGGGUAGCCGGCCUGAGAGGGUGACCGGCCACAUUGGGACUGAGAUACGGCCCAGACUCCUACGGGAGGCAGCAGUGGGGAAUAUUGCACAAUGGGCGGAAGCCUGAUGCAGCAACGCCGCGUGCGGGAUGACGGCCUUCGGGUUGUAAACCGCUUUCGCCUGUGACGAAGCGUGAGUGGCGGUAAUGGGUAAAGAAGCACCGGCUAACUACGUG